CCGCCCGCCAGUGCUUCACAGUGCCGGUGCCGAGUGAUUGCCCCGCGUGGUCCACGGGCCGCCUAGGCGAACGCCCCAAAGGUAGCGAAGAGCCUCUGCCAGUGACAAGACGCGACGCGACUCCGUGCCGGCCGCUCUGCGAGACUUGAACGCCAGAUCAGAACAGCAGCACCAGCGGGCGCCGCCAGGGCUUUCUCCGCGGUCGGGCCGGUCAGACCAACGGAUGUGACAAAGCAGCGGCCAGGAUGCACAACUUCAAAGACGCCAGCAAAGCUGUGAGAACAGCAUGAAGAAGCUGUCAUGUCGGUUGCAAUUAGCAGAAUGCGAUAACUCCUGAGGGGCUAGACGGCAGUCUGCGUACUUGAGAC
Schistocerca serialis cubense is the source of this 368-nucleotide long non-coding RNA. RefSeq lists it as uncharacterized. The record is from RefSeq and is a predicted model, not a curated record. The transcript has 3 exons. Lineage: Eukaryota; Metazoa; Arthropoda; Insecta; Orthoptera; Acrididae.